UAAUCCCUUCUUAGGGGCCCCACUUUUGUGACCUCACCUAAACCCAGUCACCUCCCAAAGGCCCUACCUCCUGAUUCCAUUGCGCUGGGGUUAGGGCUUCAGUGUAUGAAUUUAUGGGAGACACAAAAGUUCGGUCCCUAACAGGAGAGGAUUUGAAAGCUGGUGGAGUGAAGAUGCCAGAAUGUGGGCUAGAGGAAGUGAUAAGAGAGAAAGGGGGAGAGGAGGAUGUGGCUGCAGAAAGCUGGAGGCUCCAUCAGUCGAGCUUGGCAAUGCCCGGGAAAGACUUUCUGUCCUAGGACUCCAGAGGAAAACAUGAUUUUGAUGAAAAAAGAAAUUGAAGAUUAAAAGACCCA
This is a long non-coding RNA of Heterocephalus glaber (naked mole-rat), 353 nucleotides long. Lineage: Eukaryota; Metazoa; Chordata; Mammalia; Rodentia; Bathyergidae. The record is from Ensembl.